GCUUGUCUCAAAGAUUAAGCCAUGCAUGUCUAAGUAUAACUCUUUUACUUUGAAAACUGCGAACGGCUCAUUAUAUCAGUUAUAGUUUCUUUGAUAGUCCCUUACUACUUGGAUACCCGUAGUAAUUCUAGAGCUAAUACAUGCACAAAGGCCCGACUCACGAAGGGCUGUAUUUAUUAGAUUUAAAGCCGACAUCUUUUGGUGAUUCAUAAUAACUCGCGGAUCGGUUUACCGAUGCAUCAUUCAAGUUUCUGCCCUAUCAGCUUUGGAUGGUAGGGUAUUGGCCUACCAUGGCUUUAACGGGUAACGGAGAAUUAGGGUUCGAUUCCGGAGAGGGAGCCUGAGAAAUGGCUACCACAUCCAAGGAAGGCAGCAGG
Molecule: ribosomal RNA, 377 nt
Filed under: uncultured fungus
Lineage: Eukaryota; Fungi
Description: partial small subunit ribosomal RNA
Rfam family: Eukaryotic small subunit ribosomal RNA
Source: RNAcentral